This 1385-nucleotide ribosomal RNA is filed under the name uncultured bacterium. Its description in RNAcentral is "bacterial SSU rRNA". It matches the Rfam family "Bacterial small subunit ribosomal RNA", at positions 28 to 1381 of the family's 1533-position model. The record is from RNAcentral.
GACGAACGCUGGCGGCGUGCCUAAUACAUGCAAGUCGAGCGAGCGGAACUAACAGAUUUACUUCGGUAAUGACGUUAGGAAAGCGAGCGGCGGAUGGGUGAGUAACACGUGGGGAACCUGCCCCAUAGUCUGGGAUACCACUUGGAAACAGGUGCUAAUACCGGAUAAGAAAGCAGAUCGCAUGAUCAGCUUUUAAAAGGCGGCGUAAGCUGUCGCUAUGGGAUGGCCCCGCGGUGCAUUAGCUAGUUGGUAAGGUAAAGGCUUACCAAGGCGAUGAUGCAUAGCCGAGUUGAGAGACUGAUCGGCCACAUUGGGACUGAGACACGGCCCAAACUCCUACGGGAGGCAGCAGUAGGGAAUCUUCCACAAUGGACGCAAGUCUGAUGGAGCAACGCCGCGUGAGUGAAGAAGGUUUUCGGAUCGUAAAGCUCUGUUGUUGGUGAAGAAGGAUAGAGGUAGUAACUGGCCUUUAUUUGACGGUAAUCAACCAGAAAGUCACGGCUAACUACGUGCCAGCAGCCGCGGUAAUACGUAGGUGGCAAGCGUUGUCCGGAUUUAUUGGGCGUAAAGCGAGCGCAGGCGGAAGAAUAAGUCUGAUGUGAAGGCCCUCGGCUUAACCGAGGAACUGCAUCGGAAACUGUUUUUCUUGAGUGCAGAAGAGGAGAGUGGAACUCCAUGUGUAGCGGUGGAAUGCGUAGAUAUAUGGAAGAACACCAGUGGCGAAGGCGGCUCUCUGGUCUGCAACUGACGCUGAGGCUCGAAAGCAUGGGUAGCGAACGGGAUUAGAUACCCUGGUAGUCCAUGCCGUAAACGAUGAGUGCUAAGUGUUGGGAGGUUUCCGCCUCUCAGUGCUGCAGCUAACGCAUUAAGCACUCCGCCUGGGGAGUACGACCGCAAGGUUGAAACUCAAAGGAAUUGACGGGGGCCCGCACAAGCGGUGGAGCAUGUGGUUUAAUUCGAAGCAACGCGAAGAACCUUACCAGGUCUUGACAUCUAGUGCCAUUUGUAGAGAUACAAAGUUCCCUUCGGGGACGCUAAGACAGGUGGUGCAUGGCUGUCGUCAGCUCGUGUCGUGAGAUGUUGGGUUAAGUCCCGCAACGAGCGCAACCCUUGUUAUUAGUUGCCAGCAUUAAGUUGGGCACUCUAAUGAGACUGCCGGUGACAAACCGGAGGAAGGUGGGGAUGACGUCAAGUCAUCAUGCCCCUUAUGACCUGGGCUACACACGUGCUACAAUGGGCAGUACAACGAGAAGCGAGCCUGCGAAGGCAAGCGAAUCUCUGAAAGCUGUUCUCAGUUCGGACUGCAGUCUGCAACUCGACUGCACGAAGCUGGAAUCGCUAGUAAUCGCGGAUCAGCACGCCGCGGUGAAUACGUUCCCGGGCCU